GAUGAACGCUGGCGGCGUGCCUAAUACAUGCAAGUCGAGCGAACGGACGAGAAGCUUGCUUCUCUGAUGUUAGCGGCGGACGGGUGAGUAACACGUGGAUAACCUACCUAUAAGACUGGGAUAACUUCGGGAAACCGGAGCUAAUACCAGAUAAUAUUUUGAACCGCAUGGUUCAAAAGUGAAAGACGGUCUUGCUGUCACUUAUAGAUGGAUCCGCGCUGCAUUAGCUAGUUGGUAAGGUAACGGCUUACCAAGGCAACGAUGCAUAGCCGACCUGAGAGGGUGAUCGGCCACACUGGAACGGAGACACGGUCCAGACUCCUACGGGAGGCAGCAGUAGGGAAUCUUACGCAAUGGGCGAAAGCCUGACGGAGCAACGCCGCGUGAGUGAUGAAGGUCUUCGGAUCGUAAAACUCUGUUAUUAGGGAAGAACAAAUGUGUAAGUAACUGUGCACAUCUUGACGGUACCUAAUCAGAAAGCCACGGCUAACUACGUG
Molecule: ribosomal RNA, 497 nt
Filed under: uncultured bacterium
Lineage: Bacteria
Description: partial 16S ribosomal RNA
Rfam family: Bacterial small subunit ribosomal RNA
Source: RNAcentral